GGUUCGGGAGCGGCCGGUGGGACGGCACGCAGGAAUGGAACCUCACCCCUUCAUUCGUGAGCGGCGCGCAGCCGGGGCCCGACGGCCUGCGCA
This is a regulatory RNA element of Actibacterium mucosum KCTC 23349, 93 nucleotides long. It matches the Rfam family "Rhodo-rpoB RNA". Lineage: Bacteria; Pseudomonadati; Pseudomonadota; Alphaproteobacteria; Rhodobacterales; Roseobacteraceae. The record is from Rfam.